UCGGGUGAGGUGUUUUGGCUGCAUUCCGGUCUUCCAAACCGAUGGAGCGGGUUCGAUUCCCGCCAUCCGAU
This 71-nucleotide transfer RNA is filed under the name Bacteroidota bacterium. Its description in RNAcentral is "Bacteroidetes bacterium (activated sludge metagenome) tRNA-Gly". It matches the Rfam family "tRNA". Rfam says of the family: Transfer RNA (tRNA) molecules are approximately 80 nucleotides in length. Their secondary structure includes four short double-helical elements and three loops (D, anti-codon, and T loops). Further hydrogen bonds mediate the characteristic L-shaped molecular structure. tRNAs have two regions of fundamental functional importance: the anti-codon, which is responsible for specific mRNA codon recognition, and the 3' end, to which the tRNAs corresponding amino acid is attached (by aminoacyl-tRNA synthetases). tRNAs cope with the degeneracy of the genetic code in two manners: having more than one tRNA (with a specific anti-codon) for a particular amino acid; and 'wobble' base-pairing, i.e. permitting non-standard base-pairing at the 3rd anti-codon position. Lineage: Bacteria; Pseudomonadati; Bacteroidota. RNAcentral also lists the same sequence under 1 other name. The record is from RNAcentral.